UGCAUGGCUGUCGUCAGCUCGUGUCGUGAGAUGUGGUUAGUCCGCAACGAGCGCAACCCUUGUCUUUAAUUGCCAUCAUUCAGUUGGGCACUUUAAGAGACUGCCGGUGUUAAACCGGAGGAAGGUGGGGAUGACGUCAAGUCCUCAUGGCCUUUAUGCCCAGGGCUACACACGUGCUACAAUGGGUGGUACAAAGAGAUGCAAUCUCGCAAGAGCAAGCAAACCUCAAAAAGCCAUCCUCAGUUCGGAUUGGAGUCUGCAACUCGACUCCAUGAAGUCGGAAUCGCUGGUAAUCGCGGAUCAGCACGCCGCGGUGAAUACGUUCCCGGGCCUU
This 334-nucleotide ribosomal RNA is filed under the name uncultured Syntrophus sp. RNAcentral's name for it is "bacterial SSU rRNA". It matches the Rfam family "Bacterial small subunit ribosomal RNA", at positions 1042 to 1382 of the family's 1533-position model. The record is from RNAcentral. Lineage: Bacteria; Pseudomonadati; Thermodesulfobacteriota; Syntrophia; Syntrophales; Syntrophaceae.